ACGUUGCCAUACGAUCACCGAAGUUAAGCAACGUCGGGCCUGGUCAGUACCUAGACGGGUGGCCGCUCGUGAAUACCAGGCGAUGUAA
Molecule: non-coding RNA, 88 nt
Organism: Acanthosepion pharaonis
Lineage: Eukaryota; Metazoa; Mollusca; Cephalopoda; Sepiida; Sepiidae
Source: the annotation of a GenBank genome assembly